GAGAAGCAAGACAAAGUGACAGAUGU
Molecule: non-coding RNA, 26 nt
Filed under: Bombyx mori (domestic silkworm)
Lineage: Eukaryota; Metazoa; Arthropoda; Insecta; Lepidoptera; Bombycidae
Source: RNAcentral